UACGUAGGGUGCAAGCGUUAUCCGGAAUUAUUGGGCGUAAAGAGCUCGUAGGCGGUUUGUCGCGUCUGCCGUGAAAGUCCGGGGCUCAACUCCGGAUCUGCGGUGGGUACGGGCAGACUAGAGUGAUGUAGGGGAGACUGGAAUUCCUGGUGUAGCGGUGAAAUGCGCAGAUAUCAGGAGGAACACCGAUGGCGAAGGCAGGUCUCUGGGCCGAUACUGACGCUGAGGAGCGAAAGCGUGGGGAGCGAACAGG
RNAcentral lists this ribosomal RNA (253 nucleotides) under uncultured bacterium. Its description in RNAcentral is "partial 16S ribosomal RNA". It matches the Rfam family "Bacterial small subunit ribosomal RNA", at positions 524 to 776 of the family's 1533-position model. The record is from RNAcentral.